AAGCCGUGGUGUGGGCAUUGGUUAGUGUAGCUUCUAAACCGUUCCCAAGCUUCACUAAAGAUCUCGUUAUUGUGCUGCGUGAAACUUGAGAUCUGAUUCCUGAGCUU
Eutrema salsugineum is the source of this 107-nucleotide small nucleolar RNA. It matches the Rfam family "Plant small nucleolar RNA R71". From Rfam's summary of the family: R71 is a member of the C/D box family of snoRNAs containing the C (UGAUGA) and D (CUGA) box motifs. Multiple nearly identical copies of this snoRNA have been identified in Arabidopsis, and it is thought to function as a 2'-O-ribose methylation guide for 18S ribosomal RNA. The record is from Rfam. NCBI's taxonomy places the organism in Eukaryota, Viridiplantae, Streptophyta, Magnoliopsida, Brassicales, Brassicaceae.